GCACAAGCGGUGGAUGAUGUGGAUUAAUUCGAUGCAACGACGAAAACCUUACCUACCCUUGACAUGCCAGGAACCCUGCUGAGAGGUGGGGGUGCUCGAAAGAGAGCCUGGACACAGGUGCUGCAUGGCUGUCGUCAGCUCGUGUCGUGAGAUGUUGGGUUAAGUCCCGCAACGAGCGCAACCCUUGUCAUUAGUUGCCAUCAUUCAGUUGGGCACUCUAAUGAGACUGCCGGUGACAAACCGGAGGAAGGUGGGGAUGACGUCAAGUCCUCAUGGCCCUUAUGGGUAGGGCUUCACACGUCAUACAAUGGUCGGUACAGAGGGUUGCCAAGCCGCGAGGUGGAGCCAAUCCCAGAAAGCCGAUCGUAGUCCGGAUUGUUCUCUGCAACUCGAGAGCAUGAAGUCGGAAUCGCUAGUAAUCGCGGAUCAGCACGUCGCGGUGAAUACGUUCCCGGGCCUU
RNAcentral lists this ribosomal RNA (460 nucleotides) under uncultured Rhodocyclaceae bacterium. RNAcentral's name for it is "bacterial SSU rRNA". It matches the Rfam family "Bacterial small subunit ribosomal RNA", at positions 923 to 1382 of the family's 1533-position model. Lineage: Bacteria; Pseudomonadati; Pseudomonadota; Betaproteobacteria; Rhodocyclales; Rhodocyclaceae. The record is from RNAcentral.